GAAGAAGAUAAAGGAACAGUUUAUAAUUGCUGAGCUUUCUUCGUUCCUCUUAAACAAGCAAUUAACUACAUCGUUUUGAAAUAACAGAUGCCAAGACUACUGCAGGAGAAUUAAUAAAUAUGACAACUUCCUGGUGAAGAGGAGUCAGAAUUAAGCAACAGCUGUAAAACCUUCAUGUCAAAGUGCACAGAUCCUCCAUGAAUAUUCCAGGGCUCCUUGUUUGUCAGGAAGGCUGUCUCGCUUUCAUCUAUUCAGGCUCCUGAUAGACAACCCUGACACCUGGUCCCCAGGGACACCAUCCACCAAGUCACUGCACUGCUCCUGGAGAGACUUCCUUUACUUUAUCAGCCCAUAAAGGAUUGUCACAGGGUGAAGUCUUGGGAUGCCUCAUCAAAACCAUGCAGAAUUCCCUCCUGUCUGCUGUGGGGAUUUGUGGAAGGUAUUGUAGAGAAGAUGACACUGGCACAAUUCCCAGCAACAUGAGGUGGGGAUACACCCUCUUAAAAUCCUAUUAAUUCAUGGCUGAGGUUCUUAGGUUGCCACUUUCUAUCACAUAAAAUUGGAGGUCAGACGUAGUAUAGACAGAACUAUUGCUGUCAACAUUGUAUUCUCUGUUUUUCUUUUUCAUAGAAAGUACUCAUAGGUCAAUGGUUUAGUGUUUAGCUAUAUCUCUCUUGGAAAAAGCCAUUAAUGGAGUCAUUACUACUAUUAUCAUUAACUCUGUGUAACCCUUUGUAUUUCUUUUUGUUACUUAUUGUAAAAUCAUUUACAUAUUUGUGUCUCUGUCAUUGACACAGCUCCUAUAGUUACCGACACUACAUUUGUUUGCUCUUUGUUUUUUCUCUCUACAGUGGCCUAGUGCUCUUUCGUUGCCAUUGUGCUCACCUAGACAAAGCUAUCAUCUUUACCUUUGUUGCAAUUAACUGUAUACUUUUAUGUACCACUGGUUUUGUAUUUAACUGUGUCACUUUGAUAGACAAAGCCAUUGCGAGUGUCAAUAUUGCAAUUACCAUUGGCUAUGUUCAAACAGCAGGCAAAUGUUAUUCAAAUCCCAUUUCUUUUGCCCAUAUCAGUCUUUCUCAUAGCAGUCUGAACAGUCCUAUUCAUUCUUUUUAUUGCCCUGUCCCCGAAAAAUAUGAUUUGUCAAAGUAUCUGCAGUCAGAACAGUCAUGUUACAUUUUAUCCGACUUUCGCUUCAUUGACGUGAGACAUGUGUCAUAAUUCUGCCCCAGAAGAAGACAAAUGGUAAAUUCAGACAUAAACAAUGGCUUUGAUAUUAGUUAUGGUUUUUACUCCUUUAGCUUGCUCUGUAGUUUUAUGACUUUGUGACAAUAAGUUCAUAAAAAGACAACUUUAAAAUUUACCCAUGGACGGAAACAUCAAUUAUUACUUCUGUCAACAGAGAAGUCUAAUUGCAGUUCCAUUUAGUUAGCCAAAAUGACCACAUAGAAAUAAUGUAUUUUGGUAAAAGCUCAGAAUUUAGCAUCAAGACCAGUUGUGUAAAGGUAGCUUUUGUGUGCUUCUUUUGUAUUUUUUUCCUUUAAAGGUUUUCUUGACCCAGACAGUCUCUGUUUAGCUGUAUUUUUUAUCCGGUAGAGAUGCAGUUAUUAUGACUACCAAUGGUAUCUACUGUCUGUGCUUUUCUGUCCAUUGAAAGUUCUCAAGCUAUAGUUCGUGUCUCUUUGUCAUAAGGGAGUUAUUCCUGGCCACUCAUGCCAGGAAUAACUUGCUUGUUCUGGAUGAGAAAUUAAUGCCAAGUCAAUGGCUCAAUGAAAUUAGUUUAGAGACCGAAGUAAAUCGAAAAGUCUGUAACUGAGUCUUAUACUGUCAUUGUAUAGGAAUUUAUUUUUUCAACAUAUUUUGAUUCCAACUAGGUUUAGUGGCCUUGUAAAGGUCCUUUGGGAGGUAUUUUUGUCAAUUGGCACUAAAUAUUAAACCAAAUUAGAAGUAAAAGGAUGAACAAACAAACUUUGUAUGUGUUUUUUACAUCUUAUAAUACCAGAUUGCAAUGUGUUUAUUAGUGAACUACUAAUUAUAAAACUUGUACUUUGAGUAUAAUAUUUACAUUACUAUAAUAUUCCACAAUUUUUAAAAGACACUCCUAUGUUUAUUCAGGCUGUAUAACAAUCUAUGGUUUGAAUGUAUGUAAACCUAGAGUUUUUGGUGA
Gambusia affinis (western mosquitofish) is the source of this 2167-nucleotide long non-coding RNA. RefSeq lists it as uncharacterized. NCBI's taxonomy places the organism in Eukaryota, Metazoa, Chordata, Actinopteri, Cyprinodontiformes, Poeciliidae. The record is from RefSeq and is a predicted model, not a curated record. The transcript is spliced from 6 exons.